This 575-nucleotide ribosomal RNA is filed under the name uncultured Bacillota bacterium. RNAcentral describes it as "bacterial SSU rRNA". It matches the Rfam family "Bacterial small subunit ribosomal RNA", at positions 1 to 573 of the family's 1533-position model. Lineage: Bacteria; Bacillati; Bacillota. The record is from RNAcentral.
GGAUCCAGACUUUGAUUCUGGCUCAGGACGAACGCUGGCGGCGUGCUUAACACAUGCAAGUCGAACGAAGCUUGAUUACGGAAUUCUUCGGAAAGAAGUAUGAUAUGACUUAGUGGCGGACGGGUGAGUAACGCGUGAGUAACCUGCCUUUCAGAGGGGGAUAACGUUUGGAAACGAACGCUAAUACCGCAUGAAAUAUAUUUAAGGCAUCUUAGAUAUAUCAAAGAUUUAUCGCUGAGAGAUGGACUCGCGUCUGAUUAGAUAGUUGGUGAGGUAACGGCUCACCAAGUCGACGAUCAGUAGCCGGACUGAGAGGUUGAACGGCCACAUUGGGACUGAGACACGGCCCGGACUCCUACGGGAGGCAGCAGUGGGGAAUAUUGCACAAUGGGCGCAAGCCUGAUGCAGCAACGCCGCGUGAGGGAAGACGGUCUUCGGAUUGUAAACCUUUGUCUUUGGUGAAGAAGAAAGUGACGGUAGCCAAGGAGGAAGCCACGGCUAACUACGUGCCAGCAGCCGCGGUAAUACGUAGGUGGCAAGCGUUGUCCGGAAUUACUGGGUGCAAAGGGAGCGCA